CUCUGUUUUGGGUUUAUAUGCUUCAAAUACUUUUAAAUGAAAAUACUCAAAUAAUAGUAAUAUAUAGGUAUCUAAAAUAUAUAUGUUUUUUUUUGUCAACUUGUGCUUUUUCAUUAAGCAUUUUAAGAGUAGGAGUACAAAUUAAGAAGCAUACACGUGAAACAAAGAGAACACGUGUCAUUAAAAUAUUAAAACUAGGCUACGUGUUAGGAAAGAAGCAUGCACAUGGGAACUCCACCGCCGGUUGAAAGUUCAAUCGCCAGCAAGAUCUUCAACUUUCCUCUAUGCCUCCAUCUUCUUAGCUUUGUACCCACUACAAGACCUCUUUCGCCUCUCGCCGAUGUCGAUGUAUUGGAAGUCUUACAUCGCCGGUUGUUUACCUUGGGACUGCUCAAUCGAACAAAGGCUUAUCCUUUGUUGAACCGUUCAUAGAACACCAAACUCUACUGGAACUCCUUUUGCACAAUCGAGUUAAAUCCAUCAUCUUCGUCAUCCUUUCCGAUUGGAAAGCUUAACCCUUAAGCUGGUUCACCAGCAACACAGAGAGUGGGUGAAGACUGAUUUCCUCCUGAAAGGAAUCUGAGCAUAACCUUAAACGAAGAUUAACCAUACAUCAACUGAUCAGAAUAACAUGAACAUCACGAAAGAGAUUGGUAAAGAUAAUCCGAUCUAACUGAUCAGAGCUUUAUUCCAAUCAAUCCAAAAACAUAGAUAAGAAAUCAAACACAUGAAAAGCUGCUCUUUAUGGAUUGAUUCACAUCAAAAUCGCCAAACGAACAAAAAAGAUCCGAUAAACGGAAUUUACAAUCCGCGACGGAAUAGAGAUAUCCGCUAAACGGAAUAAAAAAACAAAAUAUAAGAUUCUCUUCGUCCUUCUGAAAGAUAUGAGAUUGUGAAGAAGGAAGCGAAGAGAGAGACUUUCUCUCUCAAGCCUUUUUUUAUUAAUUAUAAAAUAUAUAUGUUUAAAACGAGACAAAGCAACUGGUAUGUUACAUACACACAUAAAUAUAGUAGCAAUUUUUUCUGAACAGAAAACUCAUCAGUACACACAUAAUACAGAUAGAUACUUAGAUUAUUUCCAUACGGAGAGGAAACAAAAACAAAAACAAAAAAACUCAUAGUAUCCAUUCCUUUGUUAUUACCAUUGAAACACUAUUUAAUUUGUACAACUGAAGCAAUAGUUGCUAAUAUUGUCUAGACUUCCAUAAUCGUAUCUACCAGUUACUUAACAGCUUAUAACAAAACCCAGACAAUCCAUCAAACUCC
Molecule: long non-coding RNA, 1266 nt
Filed under: Brassica napus (rape)
Lineage: Eukaryota; Viridiplantae; Streptophyta; Magnoliopsida; Brassicales; Brassicaceae
Description: long non-coding RNA (BNAP_LNC010079)
Source: RNAcentral